CCUCUCUCAGCACACCUGCUGUGGCCCAUGGGGCUCUGUUCUGAGCUCCUGGUCAUCUUCCUGACCGGGACAAGCCCAAAUAUCUGUGGUGGGGGGCUCCUCCGGAGCUCAGCCAUGGGAGAAGGCGGUAGACCCAGAUCAGCGUGGAGGACACCAGGUGAGCCUGGCUGAGCCUUCACCCUCUCAGAUCCCAAAAGUGCCCAGGUCUCAAAUCCAGGGUAAGGUCCCAGGGAGUCAGGGAACUGAUAGGGGAAAGCACUCAGCCUUGCAGGGCUUCGUCGCCUGGAUGUGGAUGAGACCAGCACACCACGUGGGGCAGCGAAGGCGCCAGGCCUGCUCUCCAACAGCAUCCUUUGAAUCAAGGGUCCUCACAUUCUCUCUUGCUUCCCAACCCCCAGUAUGCCCUCCUGUUUUCCAUCUUAUUAUCUGCUCCCUCUUAUCCCAGGGUUUUUCAGCCUCAGCACCACUGACAUUUGGGACGGAUCAUUCUCCCUGCUGUGGCCACCCCAUGCACUGCAGGCAGCUGAGCAGCAUCCUCGGCCUCCACCCGUGAGAGACCUGCACCACCCACCUCCGACGCCACCACCCAAAGCCUCUGCAGACACUUCCCGGUGUCCCCGGAUGGCAAAACUGGCCUGUGGAGGACCAGCGACCUGCCCCAGUGUUUACUGUGUGUGCAAAUACUCUCUGAGCCCCUGUAUGUGCCCGAGCUUGCCUGAGGUCUAGUGUGGCUGUGGCCAGUGGUGACACUAGAAAAAAACAGCAAACACGGGGCCUCGGCAUGCACCAAACUGGGCCAGAACCCACCGCAGCCAUGAGCUCUGGAACCCGCACUGCAAACAUGAGACCUCACCGUGCACCAACCUGGGCUGGAACCCACUGCAGCCGUGAACUCUGGAACCCACACAGCAAACAUGAGGCCUCACCAUGCACCAACCUGGGCUGGAACCCACUGCAGACGUGAACUCUGGAACCCACACAGCAAACAUUGGAGGGAAACACUGUCACUUCUACUUUACAGGCAUAAACACUGAAGUGCAGAGCAUUUGGGUGCAUCAGAAUUUUAACUCUUCAGCCCUGCAGGCCUCGCUUUCAGACAUUCUGCUUCAGUAGGGCUGGAAGGGGUCCUGGGGAGCCCCACUGCAGGGAACCAGAAACCAACUGGAAGAGCCGGUGUCCAGCAGGCCCCAGAGCUCCUCAGAGCCUCAGAUGGGGUUGGAGGGCCUUCCCCUGCUCCAUCCUUCCCCCAAAUACUGGUUGUUCCUUUCAUUCAAUAGAUGCUCAAAUCUUACACAAUUUAAACAGACAUUCCUAAGAGCACUGUAUUUGCAUGUAAUUUGACUGUUUUCUUGUAGUAGUUGUAAAAGGGGAAGGAAAAUCUAUUCCAGUUAAUUGUAGGUUCUGUGGAACUGGAGUUAGAUCACAUCACUAUUGAAACCAGCUUAUUAUUGAUCGGAAAUGUGACAGGCCUGGGUCCACGGGCACACGUGUUGCCAGAAGCCUUUGUCACUCCAUGGCUGACAUCUCUGCAUUGUUUUUCAGCUGGUAAUUCCUUAAAAGACUGAGACAAUAGUCAUUUAAUAUCGUUUGCUCAAAUGAACAGUUCCCCGAGCAAAUAACAAUAAUAAAAAAAAGUCCCUGAGAAGCCAAUUAGACUCUGCAGCUUGUACCAAGCAAUGGCCUUUCUAAU
RNAcentral lists this long non-coding RNA (1690 nucleotides) under Homo sapiens (human). RNAcentral describes it as "long non-coding RNA NONHSAT219004". Lineage: Eukaryota; Metazoa; Chordata; Mammalia; Primates; Hominidae. The record is from RNAcentral.